Small nuclear RNA from Sapajus apella (tufted capuchin), 134 nucleotides. RefSeq annotates it as U4 spliceosomal RNA. Lineage: Eukaryota; Metazoa; Chordata; Mammalia; Primates; Cebidae. The transcript has a single exon. The record is from RefSeq and is a predicted model, not a curated record.
UGCUUUGCACAGGGGCAGUAUCAUAGCCAAUGAGGUUUAUCCAAGGUGUGAUGAUUGCUAAUUGGAAACUUUCCCAAUACGCUGCCAUGACAAAUUGAAAUGUAGUUGUGAUAUUGUGCUGGCCUAGAGCCAGA